UUUGACAUUUUGGCCUGAUUUUCAACUAAAUAUGUAUGGAUUUCUUGAUUGGGCUGGGAAUUUGCUUAUUGGGCCUCGCCUUUAAGAAUUUGGGCUUGUGAUUCAUCUCCUACCGAAAUUGGGUCGUUGACGCACGUAAUGGAGAUCCAACGCGCUUUGGCUGCAAGAUUCGGUUUCUUGGACCAAGAUUUCCAAGAUUUGAAAUCUUGAUUUUCUUGAUUCUUGAAAUCACUCCGAACAGCAAA
This 245-nucleotide long non-coding RNA is filed under the name Gossypium barbadense (sea-island cotton). RNAcentral describes it as "long non-coding RNA (GBAR_LNC023024)". Lineage: Eukaryota; Viridiplantae; Streptophyta; Magnoliopsida; Malvales; Malvaceae. The record is from RNAcentral.